GUGGGGAAUAUUGGACAAUGGGGGCAACCCUGAUCCAGACAUGCCGCGUGAAUGAUGAAGGCCUUCGGGUUGUAAAGUUCUUUUGGAGGGGACGAUGAUGACGGUACCCUCAGAAUAAGCUCCGGCUAACUUCGUGCCAGCAGCCGCGGUAAUACGAAGGGAGCUAGCGUUGUUCGGAAUUACUGGGCGUAAAGGGCGCGUAGGCGGUUUGGUUAGUCAGAUGUGAAAGCCCAGGGCUUAACCCUGGAACUGCGUUUGAUACUGCCAAGCUUGAAUGCGGGAGAGGUGAGUGGAAUUCCCAGUGUAGAGGUGAAAUUCGUAGAUAUUGGGAAGAACACCGGUGGCGAAGGCGGCUCACUGGACCGACAUUGACGCUGAGGCGCGAAAGCGUGGGGAGCAAACAGGAUUAGAAACCCGUGUAGUCC
RNAcentral lists this ribosomal RNA (425 nucleotides) under uncultured bacterium. RNAcentral's name for it is "partial 16S ribosomal RNA". It matches the Rfam family "Bacterial small subunit ribosomal RNA", at positions 354 to 796 of the family's 1533-position model. The record is from RNAcentral.